RNAcentral lists this ribosomal RNA (510 nucleotides) under uncultured bacterium. Its description in RNAcentral is "partial 16S ribosomal RNA". It matches the Rfam family "Bacterial small subunit ribosomal RNA", at positions 28 to 507 of the family's 1533-position model. The record is from RNAcentral.
GACGAACGCUGGCGGCGUGCUUAACACAUGCAAGUCGAACGAAGAGCGAUGGAAGCUUGCUUCUAUCAAUCUUGGUGGCGAACGGGUGAGUAACGCGUAAUCAACCUGCCCUUCAGAGGGGGACAACAGUUGGAAACGACUGCUAAUACCGCAUACGAUCUAAUCUCGGCAUCGAGGAUAGAUGAAAGGUGGCCUCUACAUGUAAGCUAUCACUGAAGGAGGGGAUUGCGUCUGAUUAGCUAGUUGGGGGGGUAACGGCCCACCAAGGCGAUGAUCAGUAGCCGGUCUGAGAGGAUGAACGGCCACAUUGGGACUGAGACACGGCCCAGACUCCUACGGGAGGCAGCAGUGGGGAAUCUUCCGCAAUGGACGAAAGUCUGACGGAGCAACGCCGCGUGAGUGAUGACGGCCUUCGGGUUGUAAAGCUCUGUUAAUCGGGACGAAAGGCCUUCUUGCGAAUAGUGAGAAGGAUUGACGGUACCGGAAUAGAAAGCCACGGCUAACUACGCG